GAUGAACGCUGGCGGCGUGCCUAAUACAUGCAAGUCGAGCGAACAGACGAGGAGCUUGCUCCUCUGACGUUAGCGGCGGACGGGUGAGUAACACGUGGAUAACCUACCUAUAAGACUGGGAUAACUUCGGGAAACCGGAGCUAAUACCGGAUAAUAUAUUGAACCGCAUGGUUCAAUAGUGAAAGACGGUUUUGCUGUCACUUAUAGAUGGAUCCGCGCCGCAUUAGCUAGUUGGUAAGGUAACGGCUUACCAAGGCAACGAUGCGUAGCCGACCUGAGAGGGUGGUCGGCCACACUGGAACUGGGACGCGGUCCAGACUCCUACGGGAGGCAGCAGUAGGGAAUCUUCCGCAAUGGGCGAAAGCUUGACGGAGCAACGCCGCGUGAGUGAUGAAGGUCUUCGGAUCGUAAAACUCUGUUAUUAGGGAAGAACAAAUGUGUAAGUAACUAUGCACGUCUUGACGGUACCUAAUCAGAAAGCCACGGCUAACUACGUG
RNAcentral lists this ribosomal RNA (497 nucleotides) under uncultured bacterium. RNAcentral describes it as "partial 16S ribosomal RNA". It matches the Rfam family "Bacterial small subunit ribosomal RNA", at positions 28 to 507 of the family's 1533-position model. The record is from RNAcentral.